RNAcentral lists this ribosomal RNA (274 nucleotides) under uncultured bacterium. Its description in RNAcentral is "partial 16S ribosomal RNA". It matches the Rfam family "Bacterial small subunit ribosomal RNA", at positions 523 to 796 of the family's 1533-position model. The record is from RNAcentral.
AUACGAAGGGGGCUAGCGUUGUUCGGAAUCACUGGGCGUAAAGCGCACGUAGGUGGAUCAAUCAGUUGAGGGUGAAAUCCCGGGGCUCAACCUCGGAACUGCCUUCAAUACUGUUGGUCUUGAGUCCGGGAGAGGUGAGUGGAAUUCCUAGUGUAGAGGUGAAAUUCGUAGAUAUUAGGAAGAACACCAGUGGCGAAGGCGGCUCACUGGCUCGGUACUGACGCUGAGGUGCGAAAGCGUGGGGAGCAAACAGAAUUAGAAACCCUAGUAGUCC